GAGCCCAGCCGAGCCGGCGGCCAUUGCGGCGGCAGGACACCCCCCACACCCCUCAGGGCCACCCUCCCGCCGCCAUCGCCCGCCCCGCGUUACCGAGCUGCUGCCGCGCGGCCAUGGCGCCGUCGGAGCACUGACAGGAGUUUCAUCCAUGGAAAGUCCUCCCUCAGAGCUUCCACACGGGCAGAGCCAAAACACCCGUUUACCAAGUCUGAGGAAUGAGGUCUCAUUGGAGCUUUUUCCUGGUGUUUUAAAGCACUACAGAAGCUCUUCCUGAGCCAAGAAUGCAGUAACAUCAUAUUGGAGAUAAUGGCAAGAGCGCCAUGGAUUCCCAGAAUGGUUUGGCUUGGAGGGGACCUCAAACUCAUCUCAUUCCAACCUCUGCACUCGGCAGGGGCACCUCCCACUAUCCCAGGUUGCUCCAAGCCCCGUCCAACCUGAGCUUGGACACUUCCACGGAUGCAGCCACAGCUCACAGGAAAUUGAAAUCACUGAUUCAUCGGUGUCUCCCGUGCCCCCAGCUCUUUGGACAUGAGUGUUUGUGUCCCUGGGUGGGAAUCUGUCCUGCCGGGAGAUCUGUGCUGCUUGAUCCCGCCGGAUCCUGCCGGGAUGCUGCCAAACGCGCAGGGAGCCGGCUCCCACUAGGGCGCGCUAGGACAGUUAAAAUGGAGCUGGUUUUCCGCUGGCAUCGGGGUGGAACCAUCAAAGAUCCUAUGUAAGGAACGGCACUUCUGGCUUUCAGCAGGGAUUCUGGCCGAGUUCCCCAUUUUUGAGUACAUUUCCCUGGAUGAGUGUGCAGCAAAGCCAGCUGUAGCUGCCUCAGAGCACUGAGGUUUGGGCUGGGACAAGUGCUGGCAAAAACCUGUUGGAAAGCCCUGGCCUGGACAGAGGGCAGGGAGAAGCUUUGUCCUCAAGGCUGUCUCAUCUCAGUCCCUUUGUUUGCUGCUCUGUAAGGCAGAGGGAGUGGAAAUCUCUGCACCACCUGGACAUGGACAGGAGUCCACCUCAAAGUCCCAUUGUUCUGCUGUUGUCAUUUGUACAUUUUGAAGCUACCCCUAAAAAAACCUUCCCAUCUUCACAGGAGAAUUCCCUGCCUCCACCCAGGCCCUGGGACCCCUGUCUGCUACCCUGGUUUGCUUCAUGUUUACUUAAUUAGCCAGCUGGAGCACGAUUCCUUUCAUGAUCCACGGUCUAAUACAUAAAGAUGACAGUGACACGAA
Molecule: long non-coding RNA, 1217 nt
Organism: Zonotrichia leucophrys gambelii
Lineage: Eukaryota; Metazoa; Chordata; Aves; Passeriformes; Passerellidae
Exons: 4
Source: RefSeq, a predicted model, not a curated record